ACCCAAAUAUCCUUCCCAUCUCCUUUAAGCUCCACAGUUCGAGCAUACAAUAUAGCCUCUUUCGACACCCUUUCGAGAUCGCUUUUAUAAGCCUUACCAUUCAUAUAAUCAUCCACAUAAUCUCUACACUCUCGCGGAAUUGUUUUCCACGGACUCAAAUUAUUCGCCUCCACAGCAAACCUCCAGCUAUUACAAUGCAAAGCAACAUCUUCCGAUAUUUUCACUUUCUUGCGUGACUCAACAAGCAAAGGCCUCGGCAGUGAGCCAGAAUCGAACCGAGAAUCAACACUUUCGUGACAAGAAGAAACAUAAAUAAGCGACAAUAACAAGAGUGCACCAAAGGCUUUCAUGAUGAAAUAUUACAAGUACCAAGAGAGUGCUAUUAAGAGAAGAAUGGAUUAUAAGGAGAGGCCUAGUGCAUUAUAUAGUAAUGCAUGUCGUGUAGUCAGCAGCAGACGUAGUUGGACGGGUAGAUGAAAGAGCGGCCGCGCGAGAGAAGGGACGGGGAUUAUGUGCGAAACGUGUCGAGGGUGUCGUUUUUGACAAGCGUCGACAAUGUUUGUUCAACGUGCGGCCAAAGAUUAUUUGUACUUUGUACAUUAAGGUGUAACGUGUAAUAAAUUAAAGUUUCGGCCAGCAACCCACGAGGUAAUUAAUUAAUUACUCGUCCAAACUCCAUGAUCCUGUUUGUAAGUUAGAGAUUUGGGAUAAAAUUAAAAGGUUUGAGGUGUUUUAGAAGUUUGACUCAUAUUAGUGUUUGGAAGUUAGCGGAUUGAAAUAGAGGUUUUGAUCCAAAAAGCUAAUUUUGAAAAAGCUACUUGAGGAGCUUUUUAGGUUAGCGGUUUGGUUUGUGUCACAAAAAAAUAAUUAAUCAGUUAUUUACCAAACAAUUUUACGAGAAACAGUCUAGUCAAAACAUCUACUUUAAUCAGGUUUUUUCUGCUCAAUUAAUCUAGAGAAUAAAUUGUUCGACUCAAACCCUAAUUCUUCUAAUCACGAUUCAGGCUUCAUCUUCGUUUGUUUCAUCAAUUCAUUCCUGGAUUCAAGUUGCUUGUGUUUUCAGCUUUCAAUCGAUAUACAUAUAUCGAUAUAUCCUUUUCCAAAUCAUUCGAACUCGAAAACCCUAAUCGCCUUUCUUUCUUUCUUUCGAUUUGAUCUCUAUCUCAACUCUCCCUCAUGGAUUGUGUGAUUAACAAUAAACGAAUUGAAAUUAGUUCAAUUCUCUGACGACGGCGAUUGCGGAUCUCCGACGACGGUGAUUGCGGAUCUCCGGCGACGUUUUUCAGUCAAAUACCGAUGAGUCCUACUUCUCCAAGCCACCACGAAGAUCAAACUGAAGGUGGUAAUUCCAGAACCGGCGAAGUCGAAGGCAACUCACCGAGUUAACUCGGCAACUCGGACGAGUCACGCACUGGUGGUUUAAUUUCAAGUCACAGCUGGAUUAUUAACCCUAUGAAGGGCUAAUGCAGGUGAGUCCAUGCGUUGCAAGACCAUGGCUUAGGUGAGGGAUUCUAAGCCCUCAGUGGCUUGUAGAUAGAGUUACUGUUCUAUUGAUCAAUUUGUAUUAAUAUUCAAUUUUAUAAUUUUGGUAAUUAGAAUGUGUUCUUGUUUGAUAAAGUUAUACUGAUUUGGUAUUGGACUUCUUGAGAUUGGCUAGGGACAGGUUGUGUGUUUUGUUUCUUGCAGUAAAUUUGAUCACUUGUUGGCUUGGCAUUCCUUAUUAGUUUUUGUUAUAUGUUAUGUCUAUGUGCUUGGGUUGUGUGUGUAUAGUCUGCCUUGAUCAACAAUCUCUGCACAUUGUAUAUUGGGUUGUGUGUGUGUGUGUGUAUGUGCUUAUGUGAUAAUUUUUUAGAUGAACCUCUUUGACAGUAAACAAUACUUGUCCUUAGUGUAUCAGGAUUAUUAAGUCAGUUUUAACUAUGAUCUCUAAAUUGUAUUGAUUUUUGUGAAUUUCUAAAUUGUGUGUUGGUUAAAAUCUUAUUAUUUUCUAAAUAAGGAUUCAUUAGUUAAAUUGUAUUGUUUUAUAUGUAGUUGUCAUGACAUGUGAUGUGCUGAUUGCUUUUGAUUUCUUGUAUAGUGUGACUACUAACUCCUACUACUUAAAUUUAAUUGUGUCUUGAUCCAAAUCUGUGCUUGUGUAGUAAAGCAUUUCAAUUAUGCUUAACUUUGUUUGCUUAAUUAGUUGUGCCUCUUAUUGAGGGCGUAAAUUGGGCCUCCUAAUUGAGGUUGUUAAUUGGGCCUCCUAAUUGAGGGCGUAAAUUGUCCAUCUUUAUUGAGGGCGUUAAUUGUGCCUUUUUUGAGGGCGUUAAUUGUGUCUUAAUUAAGGACGUUAAUAUUUUUUAUUAUGCCUUAAUUAAGAGCUUAAUUGUCUCAAUCAUGAGUUAUCAUGAUUGUGGGAAUAUUUUCAUAUAAUCUGUUAAAUAUAUCGACUUAUAUUCUUCUUGUUUCUCUUGUCUUAUUUUCAGGAUUCUUGGAAGAAGACCGGUUUUCUUUUCGGACAUUAAAGUUUUAUUGUCUAAAUUUCCCCGGUCAUCUUGCAUGUCCGACGGUUAGAUAAUAAGCUUUCUUGAAUGAAAGAAUUAUCACGGUGAAUUGCCAAUCCUCGUUGAGAUUUAUUCUCAUCUUCAAAAAAAAAACAUCUACUUUAAUCAGAUAGUCAAAACAUCUAAUUCAACCCGCUAACCGCUAAUUCCCGAACAAAACCUAUAUAUAUUUCAUGUACAAGAUAUACUAAGGUGGUGUUUGGAAACCAAGAUAUUUACAAGAUAUAUUAAAUAUUUUUAUAAUAGCAUCUUACGAUUUCUUCACAUAUUACAAAUUUUCUUGAGAUUUAAUCUAAUAAUUGAUAAUUUGUAAAAUGUUUAAUUCAUAUAAAUUUAAUAAUAACCAGUCUCAUCUUAUAAUUAAUUCAUCGACUGUUGAAGACAAUUACUUUUUUUUUUUUUUUGAUAAAUUGAAGACAAUUACUUAAUCUCUCAAAAUAAAAGGGCACGUAAAAUCAGUUUUUAAAAAACCUUUCGGACUCGGGCCGAAUAUUCUGAUAAGCAAUAGGAAGUCCUGAGUAGUGAGUACUCAGUCCUGAAUCCGGAUGCUUUAGAACCUCACUUUCUAUGUUAACACCUUGCUUAGUUUGCGUAAAAUAAUAUAAAUUAUAAGUUAGAAUCUGAAAAGUUAACUUGUAUUUAUUUUUGACAGAUUAUAAAAAUUUAUCUUUUAUUCUAGAAUUAUUUGAACAAAUAUAAUAAUGAAAGUAUUAAAUUCAAAAAAAAAUAAUCAUCUACUGUAAACAUAUUUUCCACUGUUUCGUUGUUUCAAAUAUUUUAUGUUGACGACCAAUUAAACAAAUUUAUCAAUUUAAUUUAAAUCAUUCAAUAAUUAUUUAAUUAAUACAUUUAAUUUUUAAAAUAUAAACAAAUUUAAAUCAUUUAAUAAUUAUUUAAUUAAUUCAUUUAAUUUUUAAAAUAUAAUUUAAUUAGCCCUCGACAUAAUUAUUAUAUACCUACAAUCACAAUCUUCAACUACAAAUAUUUUUUGACAAAUAAUCAUGCAUAUAAACUAGAAUUGCGAAAAUAUGAUAUUUGUUUUUUUUUUUGGGAAGAUGGGAUGAGUUUCGACAUACUAUCUGCUGAUGUUUCGAUUCCAUGAUUUACAAACACAACUCAGUUGUCCAAGCGCCAUCAGGGGUUGUACGAAAAUCUUCACCAACAAUUCUUUAGGUAAGGUGAUUAAACUCAGAUGAAGAACCACAAGACUUCAUCCUUUUCGAAGCCAUUCCAAUUUCCAAGUUGAUGGAAGUAUCAUCCCAUCCCAUUAUAUAUAAUAGGAUCUCGUCCGAUCAAAAUAUAAUUAAUAUUGGUAUUAGUAUUGUGGUCUACAUCUGGAUAUGAUUUUGUUUCGGAUUUUAUUGCAAUAAUCUGAUACAGUUCUCUGUUCUGUUCUUAUGUUAUCCAACAAAACCAGAGAUCGAUUUAGGAGGCGACCGAAUAAAUUGGCUCAAAGCCAUAGCAAUGUGCAAUCAGAUCCCCGAACCUGAGGAACAAUGCGUACAAAUAUUUAAAUUUAUGAAGAUUUUAAAGAGGCAGUACAUUAUGGCACCUGUAAGAGUCACAGGCUCACAGGGGCAUACUCAUAAGUCAUAACAGGUCUGCAUACUUGCAUUGUAGUCUAUAUAAUCUCGAAUUUGAAAUAUUAAGCAGACAAUUUAGUUUCGUUAAGCAAUAUAAUACAUAGGAUUUGGCAGCUUGAAUGAUCGGGCUGAAAUGGCUGAUCCUGAUAAGUCACUCCAUUGAUCUCCCGAGUUACCAUGGAUGCGGUACCCCUCUUCCACCAUCUGGCUCCUCUUCUCCGACUUAAAUUGUGUUGCAGGUUUUCCUUGGUCCUCAGCACCUCUGCACGUUAGAUUCAAAACCAUUAGUAAAUAUUUCGAGACACAGUUAAAGUCACUCCAGGGCUCGAAAGUUAAUUAGGCCACUCUUAUCAUUAAUCCUGUUUUAGACAUGUAAAGUUUACUGUGGAGCAAAUGUCCAGCUACGAAGUUUCAAUACACACCUCAAUAUGAGCUUUUCCCAAUCAUGAAAGCCACUUUUAGUCAAGUUCUCAACAGUAACAUUACGACGUCGUUCACUGCGUCCUGUCAGCAAGAAAACCUUGAAACCAAGCUUUACUAGUUCUUCAUAAAGCUUCAAGCUCGACUCGAUUGCCUCUGCUGUUCCCUUGUCGACCCAUUUAUCAAAUGCCACAUUGUCAAAAAUUUCCAAUCUGCAAAUUUUAAUUACAAUUUAUUAAAAGCCACAUUCAAAAUCUCCAAUUUAAAAACCCCAAUUUCCCCCGGACUUAUAACAAAAACAAAAUUCUUAUUUGGAUCGCAUUUCUCUUUCCACCCAAAGUAGAUUGUCCAAAAUCUUAGUAGUUGUUAAAAUAUGAUAUGAUUAUUUCGAGUAAGAGAGAAUGUUGGAAUAUAAUAUGAUUUAGUAAGUAGUUUUUCUAACAACUUGAGAUCGUACGAGAACCGAUUACUUGUCUAGGCACGUAGGGUAGAUAGAAGCACCGAUAUUAAAUCGUGUCUUAAAGUGACCUCUUCUACAUGUCCCCAAAACCCAUUCAAAAGAAGAAAAGAAAAGAUCUAUACAUCAAUCUGAUCAACUUCUAAGCCUCACUCAGAACCCAUAGCCAAAAAAACAAAAAAUAGUAUCUAACAGAAUUAAAGAAACUGCAAAAAUGCAAUGUAAACAGAGUGAUAUGGAAAAUUUACCCAUAGCCAUGGUCGGCAUAAUAAGGAAGAUUCGAAAGCAAAGUCUCAUCCACAUCAAACACCCAAAUAUCCUUCCCGUCUCCUUUAAGUUCCACAGUUUGAGCAUACAAUAUAGCCUCUCUCGAAACCCUUUCGAGAUCGCUUUUAUAAGCCUUCCCAUUUAUAUAGUCAUCCACAUAAUCUUUACAUUCUUGCGGAAUUGUUUUCCACGGGCUCAAAUUAUUCGCCUCCCCUGCAAACCUCCAGCUAGUACAAUGCAAAGCAACAUCUUCUGAUAU
RNAcentral lists this long non-coding RNA (5529 nucleotides) under Daucus carota (carrot). Its description in RNAcentral is "long non-coding RNA (DCAR_LNC004603)". The record is from RNAcentral. Lineage: Eukaryota; Viridiplantae; Streptophyta; Magnoliopsida; Apiales; Apiaceae.